Molecule: long non-coding RNA, 1429 nt
Filed under: Citrus x clementina
Lineage: Eukaryota; Viridiplantae; Streptophyta; Magnoliopsida; Sapindales; Rutaceae
Description: Citrus clementina (C. clementina) long non-coding RNA (CCLE_LNC000627)
Source: RNAcentral
UUCUUAAAUUCUUAGAUAAAUAAAUAAAGGAAUUUCGUUUAUCAUUCUAAACUAGCAAGUGAAUAAAUAAGCAUUUUUAAUGUAUAGACAUUAAAAGUAGCUAAUCAAGGAAACUAAAUAUACACUUAAUUAUAUACAAACUAUGAAAAUUGCAGAUCAUGAUAUUGGUGAUCGCAAAGAUCAUUAAUAAAAUUGAUUGCACCAUGAUUGUUUCCUUUACCUUCACCCUCAUUAAUUACAGUUAAAACAUUUAUUUUAAAAUUAAUAAACACGUAAAAAAAAUUAAUUAAAAAAGUAUCUUAUCGUCCUAGUAAAGCACGAAAACAGAUGCUGUAUUCAUAAUCUGAUGAAUCAUAUUCUCCCCAAACCUUAUAGUAUAUUUUAUAGAAUAAGAUGGGGUUUGAAUGCUCAUUUUCAUGCUUCUUUAUUAUAAGAAAAAAGCAAAUAGAACAUUUACUAACUUUAAAUGAGCAAGGCAGCGCAUCAAUUUUUCUAGUGCCUAAUUAAUUAAUUCAGUCAUUGUAUCAUCUUUUAUUUUGGCUUAUCAUAAAGAAGAUGCCUCUGAUUAUAUCCUUUCGGAACAAAUUUCUUUUCUUUUUUUUUUCAGUUGAUAUUUAUAAUGUAAAGCGAUGUGCUUUAACAAAAGAGCCUCCGCACGCCCCAUAUAUAAUAUAAUUUUUAUAGUAGGAAUUUUUCAAAGUGGAUCAAGGACUGGUUCUUAUCACAAUCCAUUGCCUCAUUGGCUCAUCAUAUGAGGCUGGUCCAUAGAACUCGAUAUAACUAGUAAGAUUUGAGCACGUGUUUCUGCAUUAUUUAUUAAUGAUAUGCGAUUCCCACCUGGCAUCAGAAACAAAAAUGAGCUCGACUCAUUGCUGUGGGGGGUUAAUUUGAUAUUAUAUAAAAACAAAUCUUAUUAACUCACAUUUAAAAACUAAUUCGAUCGUAAUUACGAAGGUCGCCACAAGAUAAUUAUAAAAAGAUAAUUUUAACUUUUGUGUUAUCAUCACCAAACGUUAUUAACAAGUCUGUCUCAUUUGUCGACAACGAUCAGCACGCUCUCUUUUUGCUGUCACUUCCAAUCUUUUGGCUAGAGAACAAGUAGGAGCAUUGUGUAAUGUUAAAGCUCGCGAGAGCUAUCACUUUCAUUUUCAUGGCUCUGUUUCUGAUCAACUGUGCACGGACCCCGCUGUUUAAAGCCUUGACUAAUAAAAGCUCUUGAUAUCGACUUGACACGUGUGUGAUGCAUAUGCCCUUUUCUUCCUCUUUUUCUUUUUCAGUUUUUUUUUUUUUGUGUAUAAUGCGUUAUUGGUGAUAGUUAAGAGAUAGCUUGUCAAAAUCACUCAAAUCCACAUCCGAUGAGAUGAUUUAGACAAAACGUAUAAUGAUAAAUUAAUUAAGGGUUUCGUUACGAUGAAGUUGUUUUAAAGUU